Molecule: long non-coding RNA, 1705 nt
Organism: Tripterygium wilfordii
Lineage: Eukaryota; Viridiplantae; Streptophyta; Magnoliopsida; Celastrales; Celastraceae
Exons: 5
Source: RefSeq, a predicted model, not a curated record
CUUUUGAGUUUCAGAUUCUCAAUGUUGCUUUCAUCUUCUUCAAUGUUGUUCUGUACCAGUUGAUGAUGUACUGUUGAGCAUUUUACCUGCAUUGGUGUGCUGUGAGCAGAAACUGGCUUUGUAAGGGUUAAAUUUGUUUCUUUUCUACCUUUCUCGUGGAUAUAAAGCAUUAAUACUCACCAACAAUUACCCUAGAUUUUCAGCUCCUCCCUUUUUUGUAUCAGAAUUUCUUACUUUGAUUAACUUGGUGAUGGUUGCUGAAAUUUAUCUGCUUCAUCAUCUGUUUGUUCUAUUAAUUGUUCCAAGCAAUGACAUGUUGCCAUGUUGGUUUAUUAGUUAUAUGUAGUUUCAUCCCGGCCCAUCUCUCUUUUCCAUAAACGCAUGCGAGGAAAGGGUUUUUCUAUUACAUCAGAAAUUCUUCCAUUGAUGAGUUGUUAUAAGCAGCAGCAUGAGACAAGAGGAUGUUGUGGGCUACAAUAUAUGGUUCCGUGGAGGAGUUUCCUGUCCUACAGAAAAUAUGACCAAGAAUAGAGCACCUCCCAGGAGCCUGAAUGCCUAAGUCAUAGCCUUGGAUUGACAUACCAUGUGGUUCAUUGAAGGUGAUCCAGUGUUUCACUCUAUCUCCGAAAGCGUGGAAACAAGUGAACGCGUAAUGCACGAAGUCUUUUCUCAUCUGCGGAAGAUCCCAAUGAUACAGCGUCACGUAAGGCUGGAUUCCUGAUUGAAAAGAAGAGCUAAGGAUUCAGUUAAGAGCUUUUACUAAUCUCAAGACAAUGAUUGAAGUGGCAGUUUGCAUGAGCAACCUUUUUCCAGUAACGAAUCGAUGAGGCUGUUGUAGUAUUUUAUCCCUUCUGGAUUGGGUUCCCCUGUUCCAUCUGUUUUUGACAAGUAAACCCCAAAGCAAGUUAGAUACUCUUGCAACUAAAAUUUGAAUGCAGUGGAGUUCAAACAAAAGCUUAUCUUACUUGGGAAGAUUCUGGACCAAGAAAUUGAGAAUCUCUCCUUCAAACUGUAACAAAUGGAAUCAACAAUGACAAUCAUCAAGCUACACUUUGUAUCUUGGCUGUUGUAACUAGAACUAGCCAAGGCAAAGAAAAACAUAUCGGCACCUGGUACGCAGAAGAGGCUGUUCCAAAGGUGAAUCCCGGAGGAAAAUCAGCUCUGCUAAUAGAUUCUGAGUAGACAAAGAAAUGGGUGAACAUGAGAAAGAUGAGUCUGAUUUUCAUGGUGAAGGUUCCUCUUUUCUCAAGGAUUAGAUCAAUGAGGCAAGGCAAGGCAAGGCAGUAGAGCAGAAAAAGAAGAGUAUGAACAUAAUUAGCCACUGACCUGGAUAGAGACAAUUAGAGCAACCCAGAUGGUAUUUUUUUUUAACGUCGUAAUUAUAUGAAAGUGGGUUGUUUGGGGACCUCUCUCUUGCUAUUAAUUAACAAUCAAGUACAGUAUGGGAGCAAGGUAGAGAAGGAGAAUGGGGGGUUGGACAUGAUGACAAGCAUAUAAUGCUAAUCUUGUACAGGUUUUAAGGGGGUGAGAGUGACGGGUAGCAUAAAUAUGUUUGUUUUUCUAUCUACAUUUGUAAGAGGAAUGCCUUGUACGGGUUGCUUACUUUGAUGCCAGGUUUGUGGACAUCUGGAAAGUAAUGCUAUUGAGUCUCUGUAUGAAAUAACUUGAAGAGAGAGAGAGAGAGAGGCAGUCUUUGUUCUUAUAA